RNA transcript from Spinacia oleracea (spinach), 1679 nucleotides. It is a transcript of the gene named nucleotide pyrophosphatase/phosphodiesterase, with no coding region annotated. The transcript is spliced from 5 exons. The record is from RefSeq and is a predicted model, not a curated record. Lineage: Eukaryota; Viridiplantae; Streptophyta; Magnoliopsida; Caryophyllales; Amaranthaceae.
UUAGAAAAUACUAAAAUAUCCUAUUUCCUCUCCCUCUAUCUCCCCUCAGCCAGUCAGUCCUCACCAACCCCCGAUUCUCCUUCCUUCACGCUAUUCCUUCACGCCGCUUCUCCUCACCAAACCAUAGCAAUUAAAUCACAAAAAACGGAAAAACCCAAAACCUUCGAAUCUCCACAAAUCAAAUCUCUGAAAUCAAAAUCACAAAGAGAAAAAAAUAGCUCAGAAAACCUUCGAAUCUCUCUCGAUCUCCAAAGUCACCUUAUUUGUUUUCCCAAAUUUGAUCGAAGCGACGAACAAGGUCAGUUAUAGUGGAGUUUAGAGUGACAUUCAAGCCAAAGCACCCUAACAACAAAUCUGUUGUUGUUGUUGUGAAAGCUGGUGGUGAGAAGUGGAAGUCUUUGACUGAUGCUACUAUAUACAAGAUAAAGUUUGGCCAAAUUUAUAAACUGUAAGCCGAUGGAGACAGAAUCAGAUGGUGAAACAACAACUUUGUUUCCGAAAGCAGCUAGAUUGAGGAACCUGACAUACUCAGCUCCACUAUAUGUUGAUGUCACAAAAAGAGUAAUCAGAAAAGGACACGACGGUGAUGAACUAACUGAAGCACAUGAGCUUUCAAAGGUUUUUAUUGGAAAGGUUUCGAUCAUGCUUCGUUCAAGUUAUUGUACAUUGUAUCAAAAUUCAGAGAAGGAUCUUACCAGUUUUGGGGGUUUGACAUACAUAAUUGGAAAUUGAUUGUUGAUUUUGGGUAUUUAGAAUCUUUUGCUGAUUUUAUUUGAUGAGGAUUAGGGUUUUUCAUCAUCCGAUUUAAAGUGUUUAUGUUAAAAUUUGAUCAAUUUUAUCAUUGUUUGUUAGUGCAUUUGUUUCUGUUUGAAUUUUUUCAUUUUAGGAUGGUCGAUUUGAUUGUUUAGGGAUGCUGUCAAUUUGAUUGUUGAUGGAUAGCAUGAUUUUAAUGUGAUAAAUUUCUGCAUAACUGUUUUUGGAGUAUCGCGAACUUGAGGUCCUGCUUCUGCAAAUGACGACAACCUAUAGUGUACUUGGACAUGAAUUAUGCUUAAAUUUUCAAUUUUUAUCAUGUUCUUGACAGUUAUAUAUUGAAAGUUCGUACAUUUAUGAUGUGAUUGUUGAAAAUUAGGUUUAGUUUUUGUGCUUACUACGUUGCCUAGAACAACAACUUUACCAAAUGUUGCUCAUUACCUACUUACAAUUUUCUAGGUUAUUAUUCUUCCUAUGAAAUUCAUUAACUUAGGGUGAUAUUCUUUAGGUAUAAGUCAGACUAUGGAAUGUUCCGCUUCUGCAUUGCGGACAGUGAGCAUGACUGGAGGGAAGGAACUGAGCAAUACAAGUUCAUAGAGAACUGCCUUUCAACAACAGAUAGGCUCUUUGCAGCCCAUCAUGUCCUUGGUUAUUCAUCAGACAAAUGGUAUGGGAAAGAGGGCUCAUUUGAAGAGCCAAUGGGGAGAGAAAGCCUUCAAAAGCUAUGGCAGAGAAUGAACUUUAGGAGUUUUAGCAGCUGUGGCAUCAACAAUAACAGACACAGAAGGGUAAUCCAAUGCUACUGCAUCAAAUACUGUCUGCCUGAUGCAAUUAGGAGUUUGAAUUCAUGGAUAUAGUAAUAGAUGGUCAUGAUCUUACUAAUUUCAAAACUGCAUCUUUUGUAAAAGAGAAGAAAAUAAGUAAUA